CCUACGGGGAGCAGCAGUGAGGAAUAUUGGUCAAUGGACGAGAGUCUGAACCAGCCAAGUAGCGUGAAGGAUGACUGCCCUAUGGGUUGUAAACUUCUUUUAUAUGGGAAUAAAAUGUUCCACGUGUGGGAUUUUGUAUGUACCAUAUGAAUAAGGAUCGGCUAACUCCGUGCCAGCAGCCGCGGUAAUACGGAGGAUCCGAGCGUUAUCCGGAUUUAUUGGGUUUAAAGGGAGCGUAGGUGGAUUGUUAAGUCAGUUGUGAAAGUUUGCGGCUCAACCGUAAAAUUGCAGUUGAAACUGGCAGUCUUGAGUACAGUAGAGGUGGGCGGAAUGCGUGGUGUAGCGGUGAAAUGCUUAGAUAUCACGAAGAACUCCGAUUGCGAAGGCAGUUCACUGGACUGCAACUGACACUGAGGCUCGAAAGUGUGGGUAUCAAACAGGAUUAGAUACCCUGGUAGUC
Molecule: ribosomal RNA, 460 nt
Filed under: uncultured bacterium
Lineage: Bacteria
Description: partial 16S ribosomal RNA
Rfam family: Bacterial small subunit ribosomal RNA
Source: RNAcentral